CCAUGACUGGUCGAGCAAUAAAAACAAAGAAGACGUGACAUUUCUGUACAAUAUUUAAUUGGCUAAUUGGAAUACUUUUGCCAAGAAAAUUGCAUUCAUUAACUUGCAUUCAUUAACGAGUAAAUCGCAAACAUAAAAUAAAGAUAAAUUAUGCACUAAAUUAUUGUGUACAGAUAGAUAAGAAUUAUAUAGAAUUACUUUAGCAGCAACAUGAAUGUGUAAAAUGAACAACCAAACAAAAACAAUAUAUGUAGAGGAGUUGGUUUCUCUCUACCUGGUGUGACAGGAAGAGUGCAACACAGAGAGCGAGAGUGGCAACGCUGGGAGUGGCGGGGGGCUGAGGAAGAGAAUGAAACACAUGAAUGGAGGGGCUGGGAAGAGGAAAGUGAGAAACAUGGGACAAUAUUUGGUUCUGUUGAAUACUCCAAUAAAUGUAAUUGCGGCUCUCUGUUUCUAAAUUUUAAGAUUGGGUUCUACAGACAUGAAGUUUGGUCACCCCUGUUCUAUGCCAAAGAGGUAAUUAGGUUUGUUGUGUAACCGUCUCAGUGUAAAGAGGCCUCUGUGGCACGGAAAAGGUUAAUGUGACAUAUGCCGAGAGUAGAACCAUCACGAUAUAGAUUAUCCUGCCCCAAUUCUGUCUCAAGCACCAGCCGUAACAAUACAGGCCUAAUCCUUAUGCAAUAACCUAGUCUCACGCACAGAAUUCCUGGAAGAGAUCAGAGGCAAAGCAGAGUGCUUCGAAAUUCCAGAGCUCCUGUGAGACAUCUUAUUACUGUGUUAGAGGUUUGCAGAACGUUCCUAGAAAACUAUCAGUUUAGUAAAUAGGCUUUUUAAUUUAUUUUUUUUAUAAAGGAAAAUAAGAAAGUUGGAGGGUUUUUGGGAGUAAAAUUGAGAUGGUCCAAGGGUUAAAUGUAACGAUUUUAUAAGAUUUAUUUAUAAAUAUAUCCAUUAUGAUAUAGUUUAUUGGCUGUGUUGAUGUAAACUGGUAAAAUGGAACAUUGGCAAAAUGUAACAAAAUACUUUUUAAUUUCCAUUGAAAUAAUACUGUAAUGUAUUGAAUAAUACAGACUGAAGCAAAAAACGUUACUUGAAGGUUCUUCAGCUAAAGAAACACGUUUUGCAUAAUGUACCCUAGCAACUGCUACAGUCUGGGUGUCCACGCACACCCUCCAUCUAUUACUUGACUACAACUCUAAUAAGUCACUGGCAGCCUAAUCAUUUCAAUUAUAACUUUCUGCCACAUUUAACUAAGAAGGAGAUGCUGUGAAUAGAUGCUACUAGACUUGGGCGCUUGUUUUUGGAUGGACACGUUUUCACCCGAAUUUAACAACAAAUGAAAUGACAUAUUUUCACCUGUGCUAGUCGAUCCUCGUUCAUUUGUUUCACUUGCGGCUCCCUGCUUGAAAUGUUUAAAAAUAGAAGCAGCAGCCUUUGCUGUCCAGUCGCUAAUCGAACAAAGGGGAGACCUGACACACGUCCCCCAUGGUGGAGCAUCUACAUAAAUAAUUAACUAGUGGGGACAUAGUGUCUCCCCAGGACCUCAUCCUCACCACGUGAAGGCUCUGCGCAGACUAAGCUUGUUUGACUUACAUUCCAAAACAAAAAUAAUUGCUGAAUGUCCUCUGAAAACUCAUAAAGUAACGGCCGAACUUUGGUUUUCGGUAACCAAAAACUUAACUUUUGGUAAAAAAAUUUUUAUUCUCUUUUGCCCGAAUGUAUUCGGACGUAAUUAACACUUUGGCAGUACCCAAGUCUAGAUGCUAUUAAUACCUAAGUCAAUGGAACAUUUUAUUUGCUUUGGAAAUAUUGAAGGUGAGUUGACUUCAUCACAACUAACACCUGCUGAUCCGAACGGGUUGCACAGUUGAUGCACUACCAGUUGAACUUAAUACAACAUAUAGUAGAAAAGUUGCAGCUGAACAACCAGUAAAGUUUGGGUGGAACUAAAAGUUGUGUUGCCAUAACUUAAUCCGACUGUCCCUGUUCUCAUCCGUGCAGCAGCACUGGCAGGAAGUAAUUUCAGAUUACUUCCUUCUAGUGCUAACUGACCAUGUGGUCAGUUAGAAGAGGAUCUAGAAACCUGCAGCCCUGUACCUGCCUCAAUAGAUAGUAUGUGUGUGUUCAGCAAUGUAUCGGAGGGUGUGUGUGUGUAAAUAGCAGUAUGUUUGUAUAUAUCAGUGUGAUUGAGUGCAUCUUUCUCUGUUAGCCUGUGUUUGUGUGUGUGUGUGUGUGUGUGUGUUUAGAGGUGUGUUUUGGUGACCUGCCAGGGGGCUUGUAAGUGGCUCCAAGAAUUGGGAUGGUGGCCCUAUUCAUAUUUUACCUUUUUAGAACUGUGCAGGCAUUGUGGUCAAUAGGUGAGCUUCACAUGCACUAAGACUCAAUAGAGAAAACGUAUCAAUAUUAAAAUCCAUUUAUAUGUUCUACCUUUGAAGGACAAUUAUAACAAAUAGUUAACUUUUGAUAUGUUUUGGGAUAUAACAGAUGAAUGGUAACUUGUGACACUAAUGCGUGCACGGUACUUUGGCUUCAAAUAUAUUCUGUUUUUUGGACCUGGAUAUUUAUCCUCCCUGUAGUGCGAGCUGCUGUGUUCUGAGUAUUCUAAAGAAAACAGUCGCCAAUCUAUCUGAAUCACUACCAGCAUCCUGAUAUGCAAUGCUUAGAGGAGUUAACCUGUGAUAACUCAUUUCAGUUUUCAGUGCUGCCAAUAGGACUUAUGUUUUAAAUAGCUAUGGCUAUUACAGCUUUAAAAAGUAGGACACAUCAUUAGGAUGUACGACAAUCGGAAGAUCAUUUUUAAAACAAAAAAAAUUCCUGAUAGUUCCCAUGUUAUUAAUGAUUCUGCUUAAUGCGUGAUGUUACAAUGUAAGGAGCAAGAUGUUAAGGAAUCUGUAAACAAAUAUAUGUUGUGAUGGUGAUGAAUCCAUCCUGUGCGGUGUCAAUAUGGACUUCUCACUUUGAGGCAUCUAAUAGAGAAUUAUUAUUAUGAGCCUCUGUCUCAUUAGAUAUAUCUUUGUCAGAAGCUCAAGGAAGCAGGCUGAAGGGUCAGUGUAGGACCCGCUUUAGGGGGGGUCUGCCUUGAUGUUGGCAGACAGGCAUUCCCUCUAAUGGCCAUUGGAGCAACUAAAUGACCUCCAUUUGUCUAAAUAUACACAGGGAUUAAGGAGAGAUCACAGGUAACUUUUUCUUUUCUUUGUUUUUUACUAUAUAUUGGGGCUGAUGUGUACUGUAGUUAUUGCUGCUGGCCCAGUAGUGAUGGGAGUGAGCGUAAGACUUCUCUUUUUAGUAUUUAUAUCUAAUAGAGAAUUAUGCAACAAAUUGGACUACAAACUGCACUGUGUUAUUUCAAUGGAGUACAUGACAAGUGCUCAUCUUCCAUUAACAUACCCCCCCAAAAAAAAAAAACAGUGCAAGGGACUAGAUACAGAUGCUAUUUAUUUAUGUUCUUCAAGGCAAGAAGAGGCUUUUCACACUCCCCAGGACAAACCAUUAUUGAGCUGCGAUGCAUAUUAUGUUGUACACGCAUGAACGCUCAGUAUUUCUCCCAUAAAUAGCUACAGGAAGACCAGGGUUGGCUGAAAAAGGUCAUAUUUUUUUAGGAACACAUAUUGGUUGUGGAUUUAAGACCCAGAAGUUGCUGUAGUAAGUACAUGAAGAGGUGUGUAGCGUUAUAAUUCAUUUAUGUUUUCAAUCCAAUAACUUUAUAAUGGAGAAAAAGGGUUUUAGGUCCACCUAGAAUGCUCCUUUAAUUGUUCCAGCUGUGUCUUUUCGUAAUGUAAUUGCAAGAUAUAUUGUAAAAUACCAGUAACAGUUUCUCAUCUUUGCUUAAUUAAACAGAAAAUACUUAAACGUUACAUAUUUGCUUUAAUCAAUAAGAGACCCAAUAUGCAUCAUGUAUUAUAGAUACAUACAGUAUGAGUGCUUAAAUCUGGGGCAACAGGCUAUAAAAUUACUAUGGUGAGCUAAUAAAAUAAAACUUUUUACAAGAAAAAAAAAGUUUGAUCACAUGAAGCAAGCUUACAUUAAUUAUAAUUACUGGCUUUAACAAAAAUCUUUCUGCUAGCACACAUGGUUGGCAGAAUUUUACAGAACUAAAAACAUUUCAACAGAGGCAGUGUGUGUGUAUAUGUGUGUGUGUGUAUAUAUAUAAUGAUGAGGUUUAAGCAUUUAUUACUCAGACGAUGCAUUUUAGAACAUACAUUGUAUGAAUAUUUCACGAACGAACCAAGUGGAGUAGCUAUAGGGACUUUCAUCUGAUAGUAAACAUGGACGAUUUUAAUGAGGUCGUGCCCGGUUUCUGCAACAUCUUUUGAAAGCCAUAAAAAGUACCCAGUUGAAUAAUUCAUAUAUGCUGUCUGAACGUAUGCUUCUUAAAACACAGUAAAUACAAAGAUUUCUAUAAAAUGGAAACAGGCGCCAUGGAAACUUUAUGCUUUUACAUUACAAGGUUUCUAUAACAUUAUUCACAUCAGGAAUGAUAUAGGUUGAAGCCUUGAAAAUAGAUCAAAAAUCCCCAAACUGCUCUUUAAAUGAUGACGUAAGUGUAAAGAAACCAAUCCAUAAAACAUUAUAAACUCAUUGUUUACGUGGAACACAGAGCACAACGUUUUGUAAAAAAUGGACUGUGAAAGAAAUUUCCUACUUGCCCUUUAACCCCUUAAGGACCAAACUUCUGGUAUAAAAGGGAAUCAUGACAUGUCACACAUGUCAUGUGUCCUUAAGGGGUUAAUGUAACUUUUUGACCAGCCUUGUCCACCCUUUCCUAACUAAUCAUAAGCGGACAGAGUAUAAUGGGAUUAACACAAUAUAUUCUGCCUUCGGUCUAAAUGAAAGGGUUUCCAGAAUAAAAUCAUUUUAAGAUGUGCAGGAAUGUUUUGCACAACUCUAGUUUUUUUUUAGCAAGAAUUGGCUAACGUUCUUGAACACACUGUCCUUAAAAUGUGAAAUCAGAAUAUUUUUGCACUAACAAAAAAAGAAAAUCUUAAAACAAAAGCCCAAAUUAGAGCGGAGUACUGAAUUCAAUGCAAUCUGCAGCAUAUAAUUUCCACCGCCAACACCCCAAAAACAGGAUGUCUGGUUACCCCAAUUAAAGGGCAUAAUUUGAUGAAGCUACAUUUUAACAAAUAUCAGAAUAAAGAACAAAAAAAGGCAGACAUUGUGAACAUUAUAUAGAUUUAUUAUGGGCUUGUUCGUCCAUUAGGGGUUAGAGAGGCCUAUAACAUCUGGGUUAUACUGAAGAUUUGGAGUUCUGCUUUGAAAACCCUUUAGGGGAGUUAAAAUUAAACAUAAUGCAGUUGACCUGAGUGACACUGUAGACUACCAUAGGGGCUCAGCACUGUAUGGUCCCCAUUUUAGAGGAUAAUUCUUCCAUCAGCUCAGUUUGUCAGUCUCGGCUUACAAUACCUUGGGUUUCCCCAACGGAGAACAUUUGUACAAAGACUGAAUAAUUGCCUUUCACGAUAAAGAUGAAGAUAUAUGGGGCUGAAUUUACAUGUCAGGUGCCUGCAGGCAUAGAACUCGAAGGUGUCCCCCGUCUCACCAAAAAAAAAAAAAAAGGCAGAUAAGGGAAGUUUAAUGAAUGUAUUAUCCUGACACUAAAAUCGAAUAUAUAUAUAUUUAUUUGAAAACUGCACACAUAUAUACGUACGUGCAUAUUUCUGGUUGUAAUGUAUUGCAUUUGACUCUGAGUACAGUGAGUGUAUGCAGGGUUAAGGAUAAUGUUUGAAGUGGUUAGGGUACAGGAGGGUUUAAGGUUAGAGAGCGGUUAAUAUCAGAGUUAGUUUACAUACGAUGUUUAGUGUUAAGAUGAUUACAAGCGGUAUUAGGGGUGUUUUUCAUUUUUGGGUUUAGAGAGUUAAGCGGAGGUAAAAUUUUGUAUUGGUGAACAUGUGUUUAAUUUUUUAGAAAAGUUAAACCUAGGAUUCAGGUAAAAGUUUUAUUUCAGAUUUAGACUUUUAAGGAAGGGAUGUUUAAUUUUGUGAGGGGUUAAAUUUAGGAUUAUAGAAAAAAGGGUGUUAAGGUUACAGGCAUAUAGCAUUUGAAAGGUUGUUUACAAAGUCCCCACCCUCCUAUGAUAGAUAGCAGAUCUGCACUGUCCCUGCAAGGCAUUUCCUGUGUGAGAGGCUGCUAGUGGGCAGAUGGGCAGUGAUCCCUUCCACUUCCUGUCCAGCCUCUCACACACAGACACUGGAGGAUCUGGGACAGCACUGAGUUUUAUACCCUCUAUAACGGUUACUGCAGCUCUGCUAUCAAGUAUAUAAGGUGGACUGGUCUACAGAUGGCACUGGCCAAAGCUCCUGAUAUUCAUUAUACAUUUAUCUUCCAAAAAAGGCACAUUAUAAGUGCUGAAAAUAGGUGACCACUACAGGAAAGGCUGAGUCAAGGCUGAGUGGUGCCUUGAGUCAACAUUCACUAAAUAUAUAUUUCUCAUUUGGCCUCUACCUACCACAGAUAGUCUCAAAGUACAGCUAAAGUAGUGAGAUCAGAGCUGGUUUUCACAGGGAAAUGUUAACAUAAUACCCUGCGUGAUUUAAUCACUUAUCAGGUGCCAGAAAAAUAAGAAUGCCAAACCUAGGAACUGAUGUAGCUUUCAAAGCGAAAUACACUUUCUGUGUGUGCCACUAUUAAAUUCAUGUUCCAUUUCAGAUCAGCUGAAUUGGUGUGCAUCUCCCACAAGGAAUAGAUUGCCCUUCAUCAUCUAAAUACACUGCUCCAAAAAAUAAAGAACACAAAAAUAACACAUCCUAGAUCUGAAUGAAUCAAAUAUUCUUCUGAAAUACUUUGUUCUUUACAUAGUUGAAUGUGCUAACAACAAAAUCACACAAAAAUUUUAAAAUGGAAAUCAAAUUUUUCAACCCAUGGAGGUCUGGAUUUGGAGUCACACUCAAAAUGAAAGUGGAAAAACACACUACAGGCUGAUCCAACUUUGAUGUAAUGUCCUUAAAACAAGUCAAAAUGAGGCUCAGUAGUGUGUGUGGCCUCCACGUGCCUGUAUGACCUCAACGCCUGUGCAUGCUCCUGAUGAGGUGGUGGAUGGUCUCCUGAGGGAUCUCCUCCCAGACCUGGACUAAAGCAUCUGCCAACUCCUGGACAGUCUGUGGUGCAACGUGACGUUGGUGGAUGGAGCGAUACAUGAUGUCCAAGAUGUGCUCAAUUUGAUUCGGGUCUGGGGAACGGGCGGGCCAGUUCAUAGCAUCAAUGCCUUCAUCUUGCAGGAACUGCUGACACACUCCAGCCACAUGAGGUCUAGCAUUGUCUUGUAUUAGGAGGAACACAGGGCCAACCGCACCAGCAUAUGGUCUUACAAGGGGUCUGAGGAUCUCAUCUCGGUACCUAAUGGCAGUCAGGCUACUUCUGGCGAGCACAUGGGGGGCUGUGCGACCCCCCCCAAAGAAAUGCCACCCCACACCAUUACUGACCCACUGCCAAACCGGUCAUGCUGGAGGAUGUUGCAGGCAGCAGAACGUUCUCCACGGCGUCUCCAGACUCGUCUGUCACAUGUGCUCAGUGUGAACCUGCUUUCAUCUAUGAAGAGCACAGGGCGCCAGUGGCAAAUUUGCCAAUCUUGGUGUUCUUUGGCAAAUGCCAAACGUCCUGCACGGUGUUGGGCUGUAAGCACAACCCCAACCUGUGGACGUUGGGCCCUCAUACCACCCUCAUGGAGUCUGUUUCUGACCAUUUGAGCAGACACAUGCACAUUUGUGGCCUGCUGGAGGUCAUUUUGCAAGACUCUGGCAGUGCUCCUCCUGUUCUUCCUUGCACAAAGGUGGAGGUAGCGGUCCUGCUGCUGGGUUGUUGUCCUCCUACGGUCUCCUCCACGUCUCCUGAUGUACUGGCCUGUCUCCUGGUAGCGCCUCCAUGCUCUGGACACUACGCUGACAGACACAGCAAACCUUCUUGCCACAGCUUGCAUUGACGUGCCAUCCUGGAUGAGCUGCACUACCUGAGCCACUUGUGUCUCAUGCUACCACUAGAGUGAAAGCACCGCCAGCAUUCAAAAGUGACCAAAACAUCAGCCAGAAAGCAUAGGAACUGAGAAGUGGUCUGUUGUCACCACCUGCAGAACCACUCCUUUAUUGGGGGUGUCUUGCUAAUUGCCUAUAAUUUCCACCUGUUGUCUAUCCCAGCAUGUGAAAUUGAUUGUCACUCAGUGUUGCUUCCUAAGUGGACAGUUUGAUUUCACAGAAGUGUGAUUGACUUGGAGUUACAUUGUGUUGUUUAAGUGUUCCCUUUAUUUUUUUGAGCAGUGUUGGACACCAUAAAGGGGGCUGAAAUAGCCGUACCGUCAUCCUUAGCAAGGCAAGUUUAUUUCCAAUUUAUGCAGUGGCUAGACCAGAUGUUCUCACAUAUAAAGCCAACACACGAAAAAUGGACCACCGCUGAAAACAUAGCACACAGAUGAAGCAUUGGAAAGGACGAAGGAAGUUUGGAAAUAAGUGAAAGGAAUAACAAUAUAUAAGAGGAUGAGAAAAAAGGAGAACAUAAGAAAGGGAGAGAAAGGUGACAAGAUAGAGGUACUUCUUAACAGGUCUAAACUGCUGCCCUGUAUUAUGAUGGAAAUAUCAGAUUUAUAAAGUAGUGGGAAAUCGUAAAAAAAUUUUUUUAAAAAACACACAUCAUUUCGUUUGACUUUUUCUACUACUUCAUAACAUUUUAUGCAUUUAAUUGAAAAAUAAUGAACACGUACCAUGAAAGGUACACUUUAAUGAACUAAAACAGUCGAGAUACGUAUUUAAGGCUUAUCCUAACCACAAUUUUACAUCCAGGUUAUCAAAGCACAUGGACCUAUGCAAUUAGCUUAUCAGAGAACACAGCAGCAGACAAAAUAAUCAACACUGCCAAGUAAAUUGCUGCUAAAUUAACUGUAUAGCGCAUUGCUACGCUCACAAACACAUUAGGAUUUUUACUAUAGCUUUGACAAACCAGCUCCGUUUUUACAGCUGUAUUCACACAAUCUUUUACAUGGCUCAGAGACCCUAUUUAUUAACAAAUCAAUUUAGACUACACUAAUUAAGAUUACAAUUUGCAGUAGUCUCCAACCAUUCACAAAACCAGUGGUUUUCAAGCUGCAAACCACCUCAAAGUGUGCCACAAACACAAUGACUUAAUG
This is a non-coding RNA of Pelobates cultripes (western spadefoot toad), 9106 nucleotides long. NCBI's taxonomy places the organism in Eukaryota, Metazoa, Chordata, Amphibia, Anura, Pelobatidae. The record is from the annotation of a GenBank genome assembly.